This 544-nucleotide ribosomal RNA is filed under the name uncultured bacterium. RNAcentral's name for it is "bacterial SSU rRNA". It matches the Rfam family "Bacterial small subunit ribosomal RNA", at positions 777 to 1334 of the family's 1533-position model. The record is from RNAcentral.
AAUAGAUACCCUGGUAGUCCACGCCGUAAACGAUGGAUACUAGCUGUUGGAGGUAUCGACCCCUUCAGUAGCGAAGCUAACGCGUUAAGUAUCCCGCCUGUGGAGUACGAUCGCAAGAUUAAAACAUAAAGGAAUUGACGGGGACCCGCACAAGCGGUGGAGCGUGUUCUUUAAUUCGAUGAUAAACAAAGAACCUUACCAGGGCUUGACAUCCCGAGAAUUACUCCGAAAGGAGUGAGUGCUUUAUUGAACUCGGUGACAGGUGCUGCAUGGCCGUCGUCAGCUCGUGUCGUGAGAUGUUUGGUUAAGUCCAUUAACGAGCGCAACCCUUAUGAAUAGUUGAAUUUUUCUAUUUAGACUGCCCCGGCAACGGGGAGGAAGGAGGGGAUGAUGUCAGGUCAGUAUUGCCCUUACGCCCUGGGCCAGAAACGCGCUACAAUGGCCAGUACAAUGCGCAGCCAACCCGCGAGGGGGAGCAAAUCGCAUCAAAGCUGGUCCCAGUUCGGAUAAGAGGCUGAAACUCGCCUCUUUGAAGUCGGAAUCG